UUAGUGGCGGACGGGUGAGUAACGCGUGGAAAACCUGCCGUAUACGUGGGGGAUAACACUUAGAAAUAGGUGCUAAUACCGCAUAAGCGCACAGCUUCGCAUGAAGCGGUGUGAAAAACUCUGGUGGUAUACGAUGGUUCCGCGUCUGAUUAGCUAGUUGGUGGGGUAAUGGCCUACCAAGGCAACGAUCAGUAGCCGGCCUGAGAGGGUGAACGGCCACAUUGGGACUGAGACACGGCCCAAACUCCUACGGGAGGCAGCAG
This 263-nucleotide ribosomal RNA is filed under the name uncultured bacterium. RNAcentral's name for it is "partial 16S ribosomal RNA". It matches the Rfam family "Bacterial small subunit ribosomal RNA", at positions 92 to 354 of the family's 1533-position model. The record is from RNAcentral.